GGGGGCGACCUGGCUUCGACGUGGGUUGCAAAGCAGAUCAGUGCAUACCGAGGACGGAUUACCUCGUAAAUACAACCGAAUCGUUUAACUGCAAACGACGAAACUUACGCUCUAGCCGCUUAAUCCGGUUAGACCCUGCACCAGCCAGCAUACGGGUUGGGUUGCGCAAGCAACAGCAGGGUAAUUUAAGUAUGCUCGCGGGGGUCAGGGUUACUUUGACCACUGUUAAAACCAAGGUAACUCGCGGGUAGCAAGCCUGUUCGGCGGGCGUGAUACCGGCUAAAACCAAAUCACCGAACUAAGUAUGUAGGGCUGACUGUAGAGGGCUUGCGGACGCGGGUUCGAUUCCCGCCGCCUCCACCA
This 363-nucleotide transfer-messenger RNA is filed under the name Betaproteobacteria bacterium. It matches the Rfam family "transfer-messenger RNA". Rfam says of the family: Bacterial tmRNA, also known as 10Sa RNA or SsrA, is named for its dual tRNA and mRNA-like properties. Its role is to liberate the mRNA from a stalled ribosome. To accomplish this part of the tmRNA is used as a reading frame that ends in a translation stop signal. Lineage: Bacteria; Pseudomonadati; Pseudomonadota; Betaproteobacteria. The record is from RNAcentral. RNAcentral also lists the same sequence under 1 other name.